AGCACGUAGGUGGGUUUGUAAGUCAGACGUGAAAGCCUUCUGUUCAACGGAAGAAUUGCAUCUGAAACUACAAACCUUGAGUGUAGGAGGGGAGAAUGGAACUUCUGGUGGAGCGGUGAAAUGCGUAGAUAUCAGAAGGAACGCCGGCGGCGAAAGCGAUUCUCUGGCCUAUUACUGACACUUAGUGUGCGAAAGCUAGGGGAGCAAACGGGAUUAGAUGCCCCGGUAGCCCUAGCCGUAAACGAUGGGCACUAAGUAGAGGGG
This 264-nucleotide ribosomal RNA is filed under the name uncultured Planctomycetota bacterium. RNAcentral's name for it is "uncultured planctomycete partial 16S ribosomal RNA". It matches the Rfam family "Bacterial small subunit ribosomal RNA", at positions 567 to 828 of the family's 1533-position model. The record is from RNAcentral. Lineage: Bacteria; Pseudomonadati; Planctomycetota.